Oryza rufipogon (brownbeard rice) is the source of this 107-nucleotide small nucleolar RNA. It matches the Rfam family "Small nucleolar RNA snoR97". Lineage: Eukaryota; Viridiplantae; Streptophyta; Magnoliopsida; Poales; Poaceae. The record is from Rfam.
AGUUUCUGAUUUGCUGGGAGUAUGAAAAAGUCCUUACAUUGUGUUUGACUCCCCAUCAGCUUCAUCUCUUUCUUCAUGUGAGAUGGGAGUUAAAUGACUACAGAUUC